UGGAAGUAAAAGUCGUAACAAGGUCUCCGUUGGUGAACCAGCGGAGGGAUCAUUACUGAGUUAUCAAAACUCCAAACCCUUUGUGAACCUUACCGUCGUUGCCUCGGCGUGAGCUACGGCUACCCUGUAACUACCCUGGAGCUACCCUAGAGUUACCCUAUAGCUACCCUGCACUUACCCUGCAGCUACCCUAUAGCUACCCUGGAGCUACCCUGGAGCUACCCUGUAGUCGGCUUCGGCCCGCCGAAGGACCGUUAAACUCUUGUUUUUACCACUGUUUCUCUGAAUUCUAAACUAAAAUAAGUUAAAACUUUCAACAACGGAUCUCUUGGUUCUGGCAUCGAUGAAGAACGCAGCGAAAUGCGAUAAGUAAUGUGAAUUGCAGAAUUCAGUGAAUCAUCGAAUCUUUGAACGCACAUUGCGCCCACUAGUAUUCUAGUGGGCAUGCCUAUUCGAGCGUCAUUUCGACCCCUAAGCCCCUGUUGCUUAGCGUUGGGAAUCUACGGCGUAGUUCCUCAAAGUUAGUGGCGGAGUUAGGGUACACUCUCGGCGUAGUAAUUUCUCUCGCUCGUGUGGUGGCCCUGGCUGCUAGCCGUUAAAACCCCUAUAUUUUCUAGUGGUUGACCUCGGAUUAGGUAGGAAUACCCGCUGAACUUAAGCAUAUCAAUAAGCGGAGG
This 677-nucleotide ribosomal RNA is filed under the name fungal sp. ARIZ L253. RNAcentral describes it as "eukaryotic LSU rRNA". The stretch from base 309 to 462 matches the Rfam family "5.8S ribosomal RNA". The record is from RNAcentral. Lineage: Eukaryota; Fungi.